UGGUAAUGCCGGAUGCUCCAUCACACCGCAUGGUGUGUUGGGAAAGCCUUUGCGGCAUGGGAUGGGGUCGCGUCCUAUCAGCUUGAUGGCGGGGUAACGGCCCACCAUGGCUUCGACGGGUAGCCGGCCUGAGAGGGCGACCGGCCACAUUGGGACUGAGAUACGGCCCAGACUCCUACGGGAGGCAGCAGUGGGGAAUAUUGCACAAUGGGCGCAAGCCUGAUGCAGCGACGCCGCGUGAGGGAUGGAGGCCUUCGGGUUGUAAACCUCUUUUGUUAGGGAGCAAGGCAUUUUGUGUUGAGUGUACCUUUCGAAUAAGCACCGGCUAACUACGUGCCAGCAGCCGCGGUAAUACGUAGGGUGCAAGCGUUAUCCGGAAUUAUUGGGCGUAAAGGGCUCGUAGGCGGUUCGUCGCGUCCGGUGUGAAAGUCCAUCGCUUAACGGUGGAUCCGCGCCGGGUACGGGCGGGCUUGAGUGCGGUAGGGGAGACUGGAAUUCCCGGUGUAACGGUGGAAUGUGUAGAUAUCGGAAAAGAAACACCA
This 542-nucleotide ribosomal RNA is filed under the name Bifidobacterium breve. RNAcentral's name for it is "bacterial SSU rRNA". It matches the Rfam family "Bacterial small subunit ribosomal RNA", at positions 161 to 711 of the family's 1533-position model. The record is from RNAcentral. Lineage: Bacteria; Bacillati; Actinomycetota; Actinomycetes; Bifidobacteriales; Bifidobacteriaceae.